This is a long non-coding RNA of Homo sapiens (human), 552 nucleotides long. NCBI's taxonomy places the organism in Eukaryota, Metazoa, Chordata, Mammalia, Primates, Hominidae. The record is from Ensembl.
CCCCCACAUUUCUGGACCUUGAGCAUUCCUCAAGUAGGAAGAUGUAAUGCACCUUGACCUCUUUCUAAAUAAGACACUUCCCCAAAUAAGGGGAGUUGAGAGUGAACAGUCUUCACGUCUCCACCCACUUCCAGAUCCCAGAGGAGACAGACAUCGGAUGGCUGAAGAAAUUGUUACAGGCCACUGUGAGAGCAGCCACAAGCACCACAUACUCCUGGAAGUCCACCUCCCCGUCUCCAUUCUCGUCUAGCUCCUUCAUCACCUUGUCCACAGCAUCCACAUCCUUCUGGGCCUGUGGUGGGAGGAGAGGAAGAGGGAGGUGUAUAGGGAAGGGUACAGCACUGAGUCAGAGGCAAGGGGGUGGUUGAGGAGCAGGAGGCAAAGAUGAGCGAGAGGAACUGCAUUGAAUUAUGGGACUCUUCUAGGCCUCCUCAAAGGUCUUGAGGGCUUCUGUUGCCUACAGCAUAAGCUCUUUCACCUGGCAGAAUGAAUAAUAAUGACACCAGUUACCGUAUGUUCAGUGCCUAUAAUAAAGCAAGCACUACACUAGGA